This 468-nucleotide ribosomal RNA is filed under the name uncultured bacterium. RNAcentral's name for it is "partial 16S ribosomal RNA". It matches the Rfam family "Bacterial small subunit ribosomal RNA", at positions 28 to 507 of the family's 1533-position model. The record is from RNAcentral.
GACGAACGCUGGCGGCGUGCUUAACACAUGCAAGUCGAACGGAAGGGGGCUGCUUUUUCGGGGUGUUCGAGUGGGGCACGGGUGUGUAACACAUGAGUAACCUUGCCUGGACUGUGUGAUAUCUUCAGGAAACUGGGGCUAACACCGGAUAGGAGCUCCUGCUGCAUGGUGGGGGUUGGUCCUCAUCGGCGGUAGGGGAUGGACUGGCGGCUUACGAGCUUGUUGGUGGGGUAGCGGCUUACCAACGCAGUGAUGGGUAGCCGGCCUGAGAGGGGGAUCGGCCACAUUACGACUAAGAUACGGCGCAGACUCCUACGGGAGGCAGCGGUGGGAAAGAUUGCACAAUCGGCCGAAGCCUGAUGCAGCAGCGCCGCGUGCGGGAUGCCGUCCGACUGGGUGUAAACCGCUUUCGCCUGAUACGAAGCGUGAGUGACGGUAAUGGGUAAAGAAGCACCGGCUAACUACGUG